CCUACGGGAUGCAGCAGUGGGGAAUAUUGGACAAUGGGCGAAAGCCUGAUCCAGCCAUGCCGCGUGUGUGAAGAAGGCCUUCGGGUUGUAAAGCACUUUCAGUGGGGAAGAAAGCCUUGGGGCUAAUACCCUCGAGGAAGGACAUCACCCACAGAAGAAGCACCGGCUAACUCCGUGCCAGCAGCCGCGGUAAUACGGAGGGUGCGAGCGUUAAUCGGAAUUACUGGGCGUAAAGCGCGCGUAGGCGGUCUGAUAAGCCGGUUGUGAAAGCCCCGGGCUCAACCUGGGAACGGCAUCCGGAACUGUCAGGCUAGAGUGCAGGAGAGGAAGGUAGAAUUCCCGGUGUAGCGGUGAAAUGCGUAGAGAUCGGGAGGAAUACCAGUGGCGAAGGUGGCCUUCUGGACUGACACUGACGCUGAGGUGCGAAAGCGUGGGUAGCAAACAGGAUUAGAUACCCCUGUAGUC
This 465-nucleotide ribosomal RNA is filed under the name Vreelandella stevensii. RNAcentral's name for it is "partial 16S ribosomal RNA". It matches the Rfam family "Bacterial small subunit ribosomal RNA", at positions 338 to 795 of the family's 1533-position model. The record is from RNAcentral. Lineage: Bacteria; Pseudomonadati; Pseudomonadota; Gammaproteobacteria; Oceanospirillales; Halomonadaceae.